AUUCUUGCAUUCCAAGGUUCAUUGAGAACCAUUUUCCAAACUAGCAGUAAUUUCUAAAACCUAGAAAAACAGCAUAACUAACUUAAAAAUAAGUUCUAAAGAUCAUGAAUGUUUGCACUUGAGAAACCUUAUAUUUAAUUAGUGGAGGUAGAAGACAUAGACUUUUGAGAAUGUUUUAAAGGGAAGUUGAGAGAAUUUUCAAGGGUUUAGAGGCUAAUGGAGCCUUGCAAACAACAAUCUCCAGACACUCCCAAAAGAUAUUUUCAAAGGCCUGGAUUCUUUAACAAAUGUGGACCUGAGGGGUAAUUCAUUUAAUUGUGACUGUAAACUGAAAUGGCUAGUGGAAUGGCUUGGCCACACCAAUGCAACUGUUGAAGACAUCUACUGCGAAGGCCCCCCAGAAUACAAGAAGCGCAAAAUCAAUAGUCUCUCCUCGAAGGAUUUCGAUUGCAUCAUUACAGAAUUUGCAAAGUCUCAAGACCUGCCUUAUCAAUCAUUGUCCAUAGACACUUUUUCUUAUUUGAAUGAUGAGUAUGUAGUCAUCGCUCA
RNAcentral lists this small RNA (549 nucleotides) under Pan troglodytes (chimpanzee). RNAcentral's name for it is "processed transcript". Lineage: Eukaryota; Metazoa; Chordata; Mammalia; Primates; Hominidae. The record is from RNAcentral.